GAUGAACGCUGGCGGCGUGCUUAACACAUGCGAGUCGAACGGUGAAGGCGGAGCUUGCUCUGCUGGAUCAGUGGCGAACGGGUGAGUAACACGUGAGCAAUCUGCCCCUGACUCUGGGAUAAGCGCUGGAAACGGCGCCUAAUACUGGAUACGAGCUGCGCAGGCAUCUUCAGCAGCUGGAAAGAACUUCGGUCAGGGAUGAGCUGGCGGCCUAUCAGCUUGCUGGUGGGGUAACGGCUCACCAAGGCGUCGACGGGUAGCCGGCCUGGGAGGGUGAACGGCCACCCUGGGACUGCGAGACGGCCCAGACUCCUACGGGAGGCAGCAGUGGGGAAUAUUGCACAAUGGGCGAAAGCCUGAUGCAGCAACGCCGCGUGAGGGACGACGGCCUUCGGGUUGUAAACCUCUUUUAGCAGGGAAGAAGCGAAAGUGACGGUACCUGCAGAAAUAGCGCCGGCUAACUACGUG
RNAcentral lists this ribosomal RNA (468 nucleotides) under uncultured bacterium. RNAcentral's name for it is "partial 16S ribosomal RNA". It matches the Rfam family "Bacterial small subunit ribosomal RNA", at positions 28 to 507 of the family's 1533-position model. The record is from RNAcentral.